This 622-nucleotide ribosomal RNA is filed under the name Diatrypella atlantica. RNAcentral describes it as "eukaryotic LSU rRNA". It matches the Rfam family "Eukaryotic large subunit ribosomal RNA", at positions 23 to 667 of the family's 3401-position model. Lineage: Eukaryota; Fungi; Ascomycota; Sordariomycetes; Xylariales; Diatrypaceae. The record is from RNAcentral.
ACCCGCUGAACUUAAGCAUAUCAAUAAGCGGAGGAAAAGAAACCAACAGGGAUUGCCCUAGUAACGGCGAGUGAAGCGGCAACAGCUCAAAUUUGAAAUCUGGCCUUCGGGUCCGAGUUGUAAUUUGUAGAGGAUGCUUUUGGUGCAGUGCCUUCCGAGUUCCUUGGAACAGGACGCCUUAGAGGGUGAGAGCCCCGUACGGUUGGACACUAAGCCUCUGUAAAGCUCCUUCGACGAGUCGAGUAGUUUGGGAAUGCUGCUCUAAAUGGGAGGUAAAUUUCUUCUAAAGCUAAAUACCGGCCAGAGACCGAUAGCGCACAAGUAGAGUGAUCGAAAGAUGAAAAGUACUUUGAAAAGAGGGUUAAAUAGCACGUGAAAUUGUUGAAAGGGAAGCGUUUAUGACCAGACCUUUGUCUAGCGGAUCAUCCGGUGUUCUUCACCGGUGCACUUCGCUAGGCUCAGGCCAGCAUCGGUUUCUGUAGGGGGAUAAAGACCAUGGGAACGUAGCUCUCUCCGGGGAGUGUUAUAGCCCUAGGUGUAAUACCUUUACGGGGACCGAGGUUCGCGCUUCUGCAGGAUGCUGGCGUAAUGGUCAUCAACGACCCGUCUUGAAACACGGACC